RNAcentral lists this transfer RNA (74 nucleotides) under Alosa alosa (allis shad). Its description in RNAcentral is "tRNA-OTHER". Lineage: Eukaryota; Metazoa; Chordata; Actinopteri; Clupeiformes; Clupeidae. The record is from RNAcentral.
GCAGCCGUGGCCUACAGGUUAGGGCUUUGGAUUUGUAAUCGGAGGGUUGCCGGUUCGAACCCUGACCAGUAGGA